AUGAUUCUCUUAGGGUGGAACUGCCGCGGGAUGCGUCAGUCCCGGGCAGUUAGAGCACUCCUGGAUGUUCAGAAGUGCUACAAACCAUAUGUGUUAUUUCUUUCGGAAACUCAUCUGUCUGACGCAAGGGCCGAAUGGUUGAUGAGGAAGUUAGGGUUCCAGGAGAGGCUGGUUGACCCGAGUGAUGGGAGGGCGGGAGGAUUAUUGAUG
RNAcentral lists this ribosomal RNA (210 nucleotides) under Triticum aestivum (bread wheat). RNAcentral's name for it is "partial small subunit ribosomal RNA". The record is from RNAcentral. Lineage: Eukaryota; Viridiplantae; Streptophyta; Magnoliopsida; Poales; Poaceae.